CCUACGGGUGGCUGCAGUGAGGAAUAUUGGUCAAUGGCCGAGAGGCUGAACCAGCCAAGUCGCGUGAGGGAAGACGGCCCUACGGGUUGUAAACCUCUUUUGUCGGGGAGCAAAGAGAGUCACGUGUGACUCAUUGAGAGUACCCGAAGAAAAAGCAUCGGCUAACUACGUGCCAGCAGCCGCGGUAAUUCGGAGGAUUCGCGCGUUAUCCGGUUUUAUUGGGUUUAAAGGUUGCGCAGGCGGAGGUGCAAGUCAGCGGUCAAAUUGCGGGGCUUAACCCCGUACUGCCGUUGAAACUGCAUCCCUUGAGUGCGCGAGAAGUGUGCGGAAUGCGUGGUGGAGCGGUGAAAUGCAGAGAUAUCACGCAGAACUCCGAUUGCGAAGGCAGCAUACCGGCGCGCAACGGACGCUCAUGCACGAAAGCGUGGGUAUCGAACAGGAUUAGAUACCCCGGUAGUC
RNAcentral lists this ribosomal RNA (459 nucleotides) under uncultured bacterium. Its description in RNAcentral is "partial 16S ribosomal RNA". It matches the Rfam family "Bacterial small subunit ribosomal RNA", at positions 338 to 795 of the family's 1533-position model. The record is from RNAcentral.